CCCGCCCCCGGCGCUGCCGCCGCGUCAGCGGGGAGCGCGGUCGGGUCCCUGCUCGCGCAGCUCACGGCACGAGCAGGUGUUGGAAGAACAGGGACGGCUCCCUUGUGCUUCGGUUUGUGAGUAAAAGCAAAGGAUAAGAUACGUUGCCACUUAAAAUGUGGAAUGAAACAAAUGUGAACCUGAAGAAAAUAAAUGCGUAAGAAGUUGAUGUACCUUUCUUGGUAAAAAGAACAAAUCCCAGAAGAACAGUAGUACAAAUGGAAAAAAAGACAUAAAAAGAUCCAGGCUCAAGAAGCUCACAUGCUGUGUAGAAUUGGUUCACAUCUGACAAGGAGCUCAGAGCAACACAAAGUAGCUGCAAGCACUUUCGUAGAAUGUUCUACCAGAGAGAAGCCUGUUCAGGAACCAAGCGUGUGACACGCUCAGAAAGCAGGUCUACAAGUUGUCUGCCCUGCAGAGAGUCUGGGAAAUCCUGCAUCCGACAUGUGAAGGGCUGCAGUAAUUCAGACAGCCUUAAGCAGUUGCUUAAAUUAUGCUACAGUUACCUCUGUGCUAGGAGAACCUGAAGAAAGAAAGGCCAAAAGCAACAGAGAUCCUCCUUCUGGCUGGAAGUUAAACCAUUUCUGGCCUAUCAGGAAAGUUGAUGCUGGUUUUCAAGAGGGUGAAUGUCCAAAGACAACUAAAGAUUGAUUUGCCCUAUUUCAAACCUUACCGUUCCUUAAUUUACUUUCUUGGGGGGCUGGGGGAGCUUUAUUUUACACAAUUUAUAGUGGGACUUAAAAGUAUAACAAUGCAAGUGGGAGUGGAGUAGCAAUUUCUAGAUGAUAAGCAUUUUCUUUGGUGUAUUAAAAAUGUUGUUACAAAAGCUAUUACAGUGUGUACUAUUAGCAAAUCUAGAUUCAAACUAAAUAUGAAAGUAGUAAAACCUGUGAGCUUGCACUGUUUGACAAAGCAAAAGAAACAAAGCUGGGUCUUAAACUCCUUUUCUCAUUCUGAAUUGAAGUGAAUCUUCAGCAGUAGCUGUAGAAACCUUUUUCUUUUAAACACAGUAUGUCCAUUUUUGAGAAGCUGAGAACUGUAGCUCUCCUUGGUUUUGUCUCUACACACCUUUCUUGUACAAGGCUGACAUUUGAGAUACAUAACCUACACAUGCACAGAUGAUACCUAAACAAGUUCACCAACUGCCAAUUCUUGGAAAUUCAACACUUAGAAGAAUAACUGUUGAUAACUUUUUCCUACUGUCUUCUUUCAAUGUAUUGACCUGUAAUUCUCCUGUGACUCUUUUCAAGCUGUUGUUGAAAUAAACAACUUUUGUUCUUCUAUCUUUCAGUAUUUACCUUGUUUAUCUGAAUGAAAUAAUUUGGAGGUGCAUUACACCUCCAUUGCACUGUAAGUAAGCUAAAUAUGAAUCUUGUUUUUAUCUUUAAAGUGUAUUCUUGUUUUUAUCUUUAAAGUGCUAUUUGUGUGCGCUUUUAUGCUGAAUGAGACUGUGCAAGUAAAGACAUAACUUAAUGAGCCUGAGUUUGUACAUGACAGAGAACUGCUCAAAUGUCCCACUGUGGGGAACUGCACACACUAUCUAUCAUUAAUCAAUGGCAAACAAGCUAAUUUUCUAUGCGUUGUUACAUUGCUAUUCAGUGUGUUAAACAGUUUCAUUAAAGCAAUGUGAUUAA
Long non-coding RNA from Corvus hawaiiensis (hawaiian crow), 1673 nucleotides. RefSeq lists it as uncharacterized. The record is from RefSeq and is a predicted model, not a curated record. The transcript has 3 exons. NCBI's taxonomy places the organism in Eukaryota, Metazoa, Chordata, Aves, Passeriformes, Corvidae.